CUACGGGGCGCUCCAGUGAGGAAUAUUGCACAUUGGGGGGAACCCUGAUGCAGCAACGCCGCGUGGAGGAUGACGCAUUUCGGUGUGUAAACUCCUUUUAUAUGUCAAGAAAAUGACGGUAGCAUAUGAAUAAGCACCGGCUAACUCCGUGCCAGCAGCCGCGGUAAUACGAAGGGUGCAAGCGUUACUCGGAAUCACUGGGCGUAAAGGACGCGUAGGCGGGUUGGAAAGUCAGGUGUGAAAUCCUACAGCUUAACUGUAGAACUGCACUUGAAACUUCUAAUCUAGAGUAUGGGAGGGGGAGAUGGAAUUAGUGGUGUAGGGCUAAAAUCCGUAGAUAUCACUAGGAAUACCUAAAGCGAAGGCGAUCUCCUGGAACAUUACUGACGCUAAGGCGUGAAAGCGUGGGGAGCAAACAGGAUUAGAUACCCCCGUAGUC
RNAcentral lists this ribosomal RNA (439 nucleotides) under uncultured bacterium. Its description in RNAcentral is "partial 16S ribosomal RNA". It matches the Rfam family "Bacterial small subunit ribosomal RNA", at positions 339 to 795 of the family's 1533-position model. The record is from RNAcentral.